RNAcentral lists this ribosomal RNA (468 nucleotides) under uncultured bacterium. Its description in RNAcentral is "partial 16S ribosomal RNA". It matches the Rfam family "Bacterial small subunit ribosomal RNA", at positions 28 to 507 of the family's 1533-position model. The record is from RNAcentral.
GACGAACGCUGGCGGCGUGCUUAACACAUGCAAGUCGAACGGAAAGGCCCUGCUUUUGUGGGGUGCUCGAGUGGCGAACGGGUGAGUAACACGUGAGUAACCUGCCCUUGACUUUGGGAUAACUUCAGGAAACUGGGGCUAAUACCGGAUAUGAGCUCCUGCUGCAUGGUGGGGGUUGGAAAGUUUCGGCGGUGGGGGAUGGACUCGCGGGUUAUCAGCUUGUUGGUGGGGUAGUGGCUUACCAAGGCUUUGACGGGUAGCCGGCCUGAGAGGGUGACCGGCCACAUGGGGACUGAGGUACGGCCCAGACUCCUACGGGAGGCAGCAGUGGGGAAUAUUGCACAAUGGGCGGAAGCCUGAUGCAGCAACGCCGCGUGCGGGAUGACGGCCUUCGGGUUGUAAACCGCUUUCGCCUGUGACGAAGCGUGAGUGACGGUAAUGGGUAAAGAAGCACCGGCUAACUACGUG